UCUAGAACUCGAGAUAUGGGCUGAACACUGAAUAAUAUCUGGGCUGCAUGAUAGAUUCUGACUUCUCUGUUGUUGCUACAAUUUGAACUUGAAAACGGUCCUUUUUAAAUCUUGCACUCUUCAUAAAAGUUUUAGGCCUAUGUCUUAGCUUUCCAUA
Non-coding RNA from Populus trichocarpa (black cottonwood), 157 nucleotides. Lineage: Eukaryota; Viridiplantae; Streptophyta; Magnoliopsida; Malpighiales; Salicaceae. The record is from Rfam.